GGAACAUGGGUCUACAAGUGUUGCUGUGUCUUUUUUACUUUGGAGACAAAGGGAGACUAACUGGCCAGAGUGGAAGUCACUUGAAACUCAACAAACAUUGACCAGGUCACCAUUUAAUUCUACUACGUGCUAAUUACAUUUUAACCUCCAAGUUCAUUCAUUUUUUUUUUACUAAGGCUAAAACUUUAUGACCUCAUUUUCUCUGAUACACUGAGGUGUUAUCAAAUGUAUGAUAGAUUCUUC
RNAcentral lists this long non-coding RNA (243 nucleotides) under Mustela putorius furo (domestic ferret). RNAcentral's name for it is "lncRNA (ENSMPUG00000029778.1)". Lineage: Eukaryota; Metazoa; Chordata; Mammalia; Carnivora; Mustelidae. The record is from RNAcentral.